This 343-nucleotide long non-coding RNA is filed under the name Phoenix dactylifera (date palm). RNAcentral describes it as "long non-coding RNA (PDAC_LNC021214)". The record is from RNAcentral. Lineage: Eukaryota; Viridiplantae; Streptophyta; Magnoliopsida; Arecales; Arecaceae.
GGCAGUCCCGUGCCAAAUGUCCAUGCUGACCACAAGUGAAGCAAACUCCCAUCUUCUUAAGACAAGGCCCCCCAUGAGGCUUGCCGCAGUAGGUACAGGCCUCAAAUCUCUUCUUCUUAUUUGCAUUACCCUCAGUGUCUCCUAGCCUGAUAUUAUGACUUUCAAUCAUUCUGGAUCUCUUUGGAUCAUCUUUUUCCUUCUCUGACCUCUUCAGAUCUGUUUCUACCUUCAGUGCUCUCUCCAGGGCCUCUCCGUAGCUGGUAAAAAUCAAAACUGACAACCGGGAUCGAAUUUCGUCCCUCAGGCCCUGCUCAAAUCUAUUAGCCUUACUUCUCUCAACCUC